GCCAGGCAUGGUGGCGCGUGCCUGUAGUCCCACUACUUGGGAGGCUGAGGUAGGAGGAUCACUUGAGCCUGGGAGGUGUAGACUGCAGUGAGCUGGGAUUGCACCACUGCACUCCACCCUGGGGGACAAAGAGAGACCCUGUCUCAA
Macaca fascicularis (crab-eating macaque) is the source of this 147-nucleotide unclassified non-coding RNA. It matches the Rfam family "Metazoan signal recognition particle RNA". Rfam says of the family: The signal recognition particle (SRP) is a universally conserved ribonucleoprotein. It is involved in the co-translational targeting of proteins to membranes. The eukaryotic SRP consists of a 300-nucleotide 7S RNA and six proteins: SRPs 72, 68, 54, 19, 14, and 9. The record is from Ensembl. NCBI's taxonomy places the organism in Eukaryota, Metazoa, Chordata, Mammalia, Primates, Cercopithecidae.